AACGCACGAGACCUGCGGACCUGCGGAAGGAUCAUUACAGAGUUGAAAGACUCCCAAACCACUGUGAACAUACCCGCGAGCGUUGCCUCGGCGGGCGGCCCCAGGGCGGGGCCGCCGCCUCCCCCAGCGGGAGGUGCCCGCCGCAGGCCUCUACAAACUAUUGUGAAUCCCAUGUGGCCUCUCUGAGUUGAUUACCAAUAAUCAAAACUUUUAACAACGGAUCUCUAGAUCGGAAGAGCA
Molecule: unclassified non-coding RNA, 240 nt
Filed under: soil metagenome
Description: partial contains 5.8S ribosomal RNA, internal transcribed spacer 2, and large subunit ribosomal RNA
Source: RNAcentral